GGUUGUGGCUCAGUGUUAGAGCACUUUCCUAACAUGUGUGAGGCACUGGGUUCGAUUCUCAGCACCA
RNAcentral lists this transfer RNA (67 nucleotides) under Marmota monax (woodchuck). RNAcentral's name for it is "tRNA.Val". Lineage: Eukaryota; Metazoa; Chordata; Mammalia; Rodentia; Sciuridae. The record is from RNAcentral.